AACGUAGGACACAAGCGUUAUCCGGAAUUACUGGGCGUAAAGGGAGUGCAGGCGGUUGCGUAAGUUAGGGGUGAAAGACUUCGGCUAAACCGGGGGAGGUCGUCUGAUACUGCGUAACUAGAGUGUGGUAGAGGCGUGUAGAAUUCCGGGUGUAGUGGUGAAAUGCGUAGAGAUCCGGAGGAACACCAGUGGCGAAGGCGACCUUCUGGACCGCUCCUGACACUCAUACACGAAAGCUAGGGGAGCAAACGGG
This 253-nucleotide ribosomal RNA is filed under the name uncultured bacterium. RNAcentral's name for it is "partial 16S ribosomal RNA". It matches the Rfam family "Bacterial small subunit ribosomal RNA", at positions 524 to 776 of the family's 1533-position model. The record is from RNAcentral.